CAUAUUUUCACACAGUGACAAUGUUCCUAUUGCCCGAUCCCCUUUCUGUUUUCCUUAUUCUCUCUGCUCACUCAAAAAUUUCUGCUCUCCCAUCAGCUUGCUCUCUUGUUCGCUGCCUUGAGGUUCCUCGUCCUCACCUCAAGCCACUCCGCAGCUGGUGCUGCCACAGGGACGACAGCUAGUUUGGCUCCUCUUGAUUUCGUCGUGGAUUUCAUCUCCCCCAGGCCGCAUCCCUCUUAGAUCCAGCUUGGGUGUGAGGAUGGCGGCGAGGUUCUCUUCCCCAAGCGCAUAAGCUAGAGCGUUGUCGCUCUUUUCACUCGAGGCAGCUCGGGACACGGUCCUCAUCCUCCACAGCGACAACAUUCUUCGAAGUUCGACCUGCAGACAGUGGUGGAGCUAGAGAUCAUGCUUUGCUGUGGCGAUGGACGACGAUAAAUAUCAUGGCGGUGCUCCCGCUGGUCAUUGGACAUGGGAGUACCCUUCUCGGCCGCUUGACACCUUGACCAACCGCCCCGCUUGGUGGUGAUCUAGUUGCUCAACGGAGCCGGCUGGUGCCCAAUGCCGAAGUGCCACUGGUUGGAGGAAGUUGACCUCAAAGUGUUGUUCACUGGAGGAAGAUGAUGUACAAGGUUGUUCGGAUGCCGAGAGAUUUUAUAUAUGCAUGCGACCAUGAGAUUUUGGUCCUAUCUAGAGAUAUUCUGUUAGGAGAGAUCCAAUAUCUGCAAAUUUCUGAGAGUUUGGAUUUGUUUGGAGAGAUGUCAUCUUUGUACAGUUUUUUUGUGGGAAGGAUCUUCAGAGUUUGGUCAUGUUUCUUACCCUGUACGCCCCAUUUUUUAUUAUAUGGGAUGGUCUGGCCGCUCGUGGGAUGGUGCUGGCCUGUUUUUUUUAGUUAAUGGUCCAGCCUAUCAUGAGUUUGUGUACAGGUCCAACCUGUUAUAGU
Triticum dicoccoides is the source of this 940-nucleotide long non-coding RNA. RefSeq lists it as uncharacterized. Lineage: Eukaryota; Viridiplantae; Streptophyta; Magnoliopsida; Poales; Poaceae. The record is from RefSeq and is a predicted model, not a curated record. The transcript has 4 exons.